RNAcentral lists this ribosomal RNA (253 nucleotides) under uncultured bacterium. RNAcentral's name for it is "partial 16S ribosomal RNA". It matches the Rfam family "Bacterial small subunit ribosomal RNA", at positions 524 to 776 of the family's 1533-position model. The record is from RNAcentral.
UACGAAGGGUGCAAGCGUUAAUCGGAAUUACUGGGCGUAAAGCGCGCGUAGGUGGUUCGUUAAGUUGGAUGUGAAAUCCCCGGGCUCAACCUGGGAACUGCAUUCAAAACUGUCGAGCUAGAGUAUGGUAGAGGGUGGUGGAAUUUCCUGUGUAGCGGUGAAAUGCGUAGAUAUAGGAAGGAACACCAGUGGCGAAGGCGACCACCUGGACUGAUACUGACACUGAGGUGCGAAAGCGUGGGGAGCAAACAGG